GACGAACGCUGGCGGCGUGCUUAACACAUGCAAGUCGAGCGGUAAGGCCCUUUCGGGGGUACACGAGCGGCGAACGGGUGAGUAACACGUGGGUGACCUGCCCUUAGCUCUGGGAUAAGCCUGGGAAACUGGGUCUAAUACCGGAUAUGACCUCAUGACUCAUGUUGUGGGGUGGAAAGCCUUGUGCGGCUAGGGAUGGGCCCGCGGUCUAUCAGCUUGUUGGUGGGGUAAUUGCCUACCAAGGCGACGACGGGUAGCCGGCCUGAGAGGGCGACCGGCCACACUGGGACUGAGACACGGCCCAGACUCCUACGGGAGGCAGCAGUGGGGAAUCUUGCGCAAUGGGCGAAAGCCUGACGCAGCGACGCCGCGUGAGGGAUGACGGCCUCGGUGUAA
This 396-nucleotide ribosomal RNA is filed under the name uncultured bacterium. RNAcentral's name for it is "bacterial SSU rRNA". It matches the Rfam family "Bacterial small subunit ribosomal RNA", at positions 28 to 428 of the family's 1533-position model. The record is from RNAcentral.